RNAcentral lists this long non-coding RNA (201 nucleotides) under Vigna radiata. RNAcentral describes it as "long non-coding RNA (VRAD_LNC005199)". The record is from RNAcentral. Lineage: Eukaryota; Viridiplantae; Streptophyta; Magnoliopsida; Fabales; Fabaceae.
GGGCGUUGAGCGUCGAUGACGCGUGUUUUGGGCUAGUUUUCUACUAUUUUUAUGAUCUGUUUUGGGGCUGAACCCAUUUUCUGUCAUUUUUCUACCCUAUUUAAAGACUUGAACGUCUUAUGGUUUGUAUCUUUUGAUGGCUCAAGCACAUAAACAAAUUUUUCACCCCUAUAGGGGCAGAUUUGGGGAUGUGAGAGCUCU